This 253-nucleotide ribosomal RNA is filed under the name uncultured bacterium. Its description in RNAcentral is "partial 16S ribosomal RNA". It matches the Rfam family "Bacterial small subunit ribosomal RNA", at positions 524 to 776 of the family's 1533-position model. The record is from RNAcentral.
UACGAAGGGGGCUAGCGUUGCUCGGAAUCACUGGGCGUAAAGCGUACGUAGGCGGAUCUUUAAGUCAGGGGUGAAAUCCCAAGGCUCAACCUUGGAACUGCCUUUGAUACUGGGGAUCUCGAGUCCGGAAGAGGUGAGUGGAACUGCGAGUGUAGAGGUGAAAUUCGUAGAUAUUCGCAAGAACACCAGUGGCGAAGGCGGCUCACUGGUCCGGUACUGACGCUGAGGUGCGAAAGCGUGGGGAGCGAACAGG